AACGCUGAGAACUGGUGCUUGCACCGGUUCAAGGAGUUGCGAACGGGUGAGUAACGCGUAGGUAACCUACCUCAUAGCGGGGGAUAACUAUUGGAAACGAUAGCUAAUACCGCAUAAGAGAGACUAACGCAUGUUAGUAAUUUAAAAGGGGCAAUUGCUCCACUAUGAGAUGGACCUGCGUUGUAUUAGCUAGUUGGUGAGGUAAAGGCUCACCAAGGCGACGAUACAUAGCCGACCUGAGAGGGUGAUCGGCCACACUGGGACUGAGACACGGCCCAGACUCCUACGGGAGGCAGCAGUAGGGAAUCUUCGGCAAUGGGGGCAACCCUGACCGAGCAACGCCGCGUGAGUGAAGAAGGUUUUCGGAUCGUAAAGCUCUGGUUGUUAGAGAAGAAUGAUGGUGGGAGUGGAAAAUCCACCAAGUGACGGUAACUAACCAGAGAGGGACGGCUAACUACGUGCCAGCAGCCGCGGUAAUACGUAGGUCCCGAGCGUUGUCCGGAUUUAUUGGGCGUAAAGCGAGCGCAGGCGGUUUUUUAAGUCUGAAGUUAAAGGCAUUGGCUCAACCAAUGUACGCUUUGGAAACUGGAGAACUUGAGUGCAGAAGGGGAGAGUGGAAUUCCAUGUGUAGCGGUGAAAUGCGUAGAUAUAUGGAGGAACACCGGUGGCGAAAGCGGCUCUCUGGUCUGUAACU
RNAcentral lists this ribosomal RNA (694 nucleotides) under uncultured Streptococcaceae bacterium. RNAcentral describes it as "bacterial SSU rRNA". It matches the Rfam family "Bacterial small subunit ribosomal RNA", at positions 65 to 741 of the family's 1533-position model. Lineage: Bacteria; Bacillati; Bacillota; Bacilli; Lactobacillales; Streptococcaceae. The record is from RNAcentral.